UUGAUCCUGGCUCAGAAUCAACGCUGGCGGCGUGCCUAACACAUGCAAGUCGAACGCGAAAGUCCCGCAAGGGAUCAGUAGAGUGGCAAACGGGUGAGUUACACGUGGGUGACCUGCCUUCGAGUGGGGGAUAACGUCCCGAAAGGGACUCUAAUACCGCAUGACAUCCUGCCUUUUAAGAGGUGGAGCUUAAAGCUGGUGAUCGCAAGACCUAGCGCUUGAAGAGGGGCCCGCGCCUGAUUAGCUAGUUGGUGGGGUAACGGCUCACCAAGGCAACGAUCAGUAUCCGGCCUGAGAGGUCGGACGGACACACUGGGACUGAGACACGGCCCAGACUCCUACGGGAGGCUGCAGUGGGGAAUUGUUCGCAAUGGGCGCAAGCCUGACGACGCAACGCCGUGUGGAGGAUGAAGACCUUCGGGUCGUAAACUCCUUUCGAUCGAGACGAAUGGCUUCCGGGUGAACAAUCCGGAAGAGUGACGGUACCGAGAGAAGAAGCUCCGGCUAACUCCGUGCCAGCAGCCGCGGUAAUAAGGU
This 537-nucleotide ribosomal RNA is filed under the name uncultured Acidobacteriota bacterium. Its description in RNAcentral is "bacterial SSU rRNA". It matches the Rfam family "Bacterial small subunit ribosomal RNA", at positions 13 to 529 of the family's 1533-position model. Lineage: Bacteria; Pseudomonadati; Acidobacteriota. The record is from RNAcentral.